AGUUUGCAGAAAAACACAAAGAGGCUACAGAGAUUACUAUCACCACCUAUUCCGCCGCUAGAGUUUGUGUGCGUGUUUAAGUGUUUUCGCCCAGCGCCUCCUUCCCUGGCUACAAACAGCAAACACAGGAGAGCGCUAAAAGGCUCUCUCACUGAAAAACCCUUCGAAGCAGCCGAAGGAUUAAGAGAGUAUCUGCGGGGCGGCAGGAGGGUGGAAUAAAAGUUGCUCUGCAGCCCGCUCCUCCGAGCCCGCAGCGACCGCAGGGGUGAGACUCCCAAAGCCACUUCCACACCUCGGACGGCGCAAGCAAGAGCGGCGGGCAGAGGCUGAGAUUCCAGAGGGCUCCGCAGGGAGACGCGCGGCGGGGAGGGCUGGGCUCGCUACCUCUGCACACGGGCGAGCCGGGGCUCCGUCUCUCAGACAUCACCAGACGAGCACCCAGACCUUGCAUCUCCAGAACCAUGAGCCAAAAUAACCCUCUUCAUAAGUUACUUGUCUCAGAUAACAUGUGUAUUUGGGACUGAAGAAGACAAGAAAAUGUGGAAAAGAGAUAUAAGAGACUAGAAGUGGUUCAAUAAAGCAGCAUUAUUCACUGUUAAGGAAAACUAUUUCUUCCAAAGGAGAUAUGACAUCACUCUAAUUUGGAAACAGCACAGUAUCUGCCAACAUGAGGCAGACUAGGUAAAAAGAGGACAGAUUUCCACUUCGGAAGAUUUGUCAAAGAACAGGUAUCUCAGGCUAAUGAAAGAACAUAUUUGGACCUGUAAGAUAAAAAGAGGCUCCAGGAGGGCUGCAUUUUAUGGUGGAUGGACUUUCCAGGCAAGGAAGAAGGCCAUCUAAAUGGUGAGGGACAAACCAGUGGCAGGCCCAGGGUUCACUUUCCUCAUCAAUAAAAUCAGAACCUAGUCCAGCGGAAAAUAUAGUAGUCACAAAUUGGAAUGAGCUUAUAUUCCCCAACCCUGGUGAAUUUUUAAAGCUAAAUUAUGUGACUAACUGGAAGCUUUAAAAUAAAAAGAAAGAAUCCAGCCUGACUUCUUGCAGUAAAAAUGAGAAUUCUGUUGUCACCAAGGACAAAUUGCAAGAAGAUGAAGACAUCUGAGAUCACAUGGAUAGCAUUUCCACUCUGAGACUGCAGUGUAAGGUCCAGAAAAAGAAUAUUCUUUACAGAGACAUAUAUGUUAAAAUAAGAACAUUUGGCCUUAAUUUUAAUCCAGAAGUAAGUAGAUGAAUUAAAUGUCAAUGAUGUCCAUUUUAACUUGAACUCCUCUGUACAUAAUCUAAUAUAUUGAAAGUACUAAAAUUCCGCUCAUAGUACAUGACUGAAUAUUCUCUAUACAGUGUGUAGGCGUUAAGUAAAUGCCAUAGUGCAUUUAUCAUAAGAUAGUUUUUCACAUUUUAACAUCUCUGAAAUGUGAAUAAAACUUAAAAUAAAUGGCAUGUCAUGGUUUAA
Cavia porcellus (domestic guinea pig) is the source of this 1450-nucleotide long non-coding RNA. RefSeq lists it as uncharacterized. The record is from RefSeq and is a predicted model, not a curated record. Lineage: Eukaryota; Metazoa; Chordata; Mammalia; Rodentia; Caviidae. The transcript is spliced from 4 exons.